Molecule: ribosomal RNA, 1504 nt
Filed under: metagenome
Description: bacterial LSU rRNA
Rfam family: Bacterial large subunit ribosomal RNA
Source: RNAcentral
AACGAAAGUUGUAGGCGAUGGACAACAGGUUGAGAUUCCUGUACCACCGAGGAUCAUUUGAAUGAAGUGGGGACGCAGGAGGAUAGGCUGAGCGCGCCGUUGGUGGAGCGCGUCCAAGCACGGAGGGAGUUGGCCAGGCAAAUCCGGUCAGCGAGUUCCUGACGUGUGAUGGGGAGGGAAAACAAGUACCGAAGCAGCUGAUUUCACACUGCCAAGAAAAGCCGCUGGUGAGAUCCAAGGUGCCCGUACCGCAAACCGACACAGGUAGAUGAGGAGAGAAUCCUAAGGCAGCGAGAGAACUAUUGUUAAGGAACUCGGCAAAAUGACCCCGUAACUUAGGGAGAAGGGGUGCUGCAGAAAUGCAGCCGCAGUGAAGAGGCCCAGGCGACUGUUUACCAAAAACACAGGUCUCUGCGAGAGCGAAAGCUGAAGUAUAGGGGCUGACGCCUGCCCGGUGCUGGAAGGUUAAGGGGAAGUGUCAGGGCGACCGAAGCACAGAACUUAAGCCCCAGUAAGCGGCGGCCGUAACGAUAACGGUCCUAAGGUAGCGAAAUUCCUUGUCGGGUAAGUUCCGACCCGCACGAAAGGCGUAACGAUCUGGGCACUGUCUCGACAAUAGGCUCGGUGAAAUUGUAGUACCGGUAAAGAUGCCGGUUACCCGCAGCAGGACGGAAAGACCCCGUGGAGCUUUACUGCAGUUUGAUAUUGAGUUUUGGCAUUGCAUGUACAGGAUAGGUGGGAGACAGAGAAGUAUGCACGCCAGUGUGUACUGAGUCGCCGUUGGGAUACCACCCUUGUAAUGUUGGAAUUUAACCAUGGCCCGUGACCCGGGUCGGGGACAGUGUCAGACGGGCAGUUUGACUGGGGCGGUCGCCUCCUAAAGAGUAACGGAGGCGCCCAAAGGUUCCCUCAGUGCGGUUGGAAACCGUGCGAAGAGUGCAAAGGCAGAAGGGAGCUUGACUGCGAGACAAACAGGUCGAGCAGGGACGAAAGUCGGGCUUAGUGAUCCGGUGGUACCGAGUGGAAGGGCCAUCGCUCAACGGAUAAAAGCUACCCCGGGGAUAACAGGCUGAUACCCCCCAAGAGUCCACAUCGACGGGGGUGUUUGGCACCUCGAUGUCGGCUCGUCUCAUCCCGGGGCUGAAGCAGGUCCCAAGGGUUGGGCUGUUCGCCCAUUAAAGAGGUACGCGAGCUGGGUUCAGAACGUCGUGAGACAGUUCGGUCCCUAUCCGCUGUGGGCGUUGGAGGUUUGAGUGGAGCUGCCCUUAGUACGAGAGGACCGGGGUGGACAUACCGCUGGUGCACCGGUUGCAGUGCCAACUGCACAGCCGGGUAGCUAAGUAUGGGGAUAAGCGCUGAAAGCAUCUAAGUGCGAAGCCCCCCACGAGAAAAGACCUCCUUGAGAAUAUCUGAAGAUCCCUGGAAGACUAACAGGUAGAUAGGUCGGAGGUGUAAGUGCAGCGAUGCAUGUAGCUGACCGAUACUAAUAGAUCGAACGCUUGAU